Long non-coding RNA from Megalobrama amblycephala (Wuchang bream), 714 nucleotides. RefSeq lists it as uncharacterized. The record is from RefSeq and is a predicted model, not a curated record. The transcript is spliced from 4 exons. Lineage: Eukaryota; Metazoa; Chordata; Actinopteri; Cypriniformes; Xenocyprididae.
GUGUCCUGAACGGAUUAAAAACCGAUGCAGAGCCAGCCACAUUUCUGCUUGACAAUGCCUGUGUGAGAGGGAGGGUUGAUUCUAUGAAGGAACCUGCCAACUACCACAUUUUGCUGACCAUCUGGCAAGAAGCAGUUAUGCACCUGUUAGGAGCAGCUGCAGGAGACAGGAGCUAGCCUGACUCUAGCCUACAAUUGAACUCCAAUCCUCAGUCUCAGGGUCUCUGCUGUGUCGUUAUUGUUCACCUCAUCCUUUGUCCUUGAGCUCUAAAUGGCCUUGAUGUCGAGACGGCCAUUCAAAACCAGCAAAUCAUUUCAUUCUUUGAGGAAGAGUCAUAUGAAUCAAACAUGGAACAAAUCACAGGGGUCAACAGCUGAUUAGAACACCGGUGAGGCGGCACUCUACAGACGACCUUCGACCCCCGGCAGCCUCUCCGUUUGGGCAGCGGGCCAAUAGGAGGCAGCGCGGCCUCCCUUGUUGCCAUGGAGACAGGGCCUGCUGAAGCGCAGAUGGCUCAGCAGGGGGUGGAGUGGGUGGAGAGAGAAAGACAGCAGACAAUGGAGGAUGGAGCAAAUAAGUGAGAGAGAGAGAGAGAGAGAAAGGGGAAAUGCAGUUAGCAGGAUGGCCGGUAGAAGGAGUGUAUGAGUCUGCAGGCGUCUCAGAAAAGGAACACAAUGAGAAAUGCAGAGACUUGUGCAGCUAAAAGCUUCUUUG